Molecule: long non-coding RNA, 547 nt
Organism: Zalophus californianus (California sea lion)
Lineage: Eukaryota; Metazoa; Chordata; Mammalia; Carnivora; Otariidae
Exons: 5
Source: RefSeq, a predicted model, not a curated record
CCUCAUGAGGCUAGUGCCUGAGAGUUUGUUUACCACCCAUCACAGUGGCUGGCAGAUGUUGGAUACUCAACAAAGAAGAGCUGAAUGAGAGGAUCACUGUCCCUAACCUCAAGAUCUAGGUGGGGAAACAAGCAGCUGACCCCAAUGAAGAGGAGACACAAGAAGGAGCUGAACAUCUGGUACUUUCUCUGAACUGCUAUGUGGGGCUCAGCCUGGGUUUUGUUCUUUGGAUGAAAUAUCUAUGGCAGCUACCUUCAGAGUCCAGAUGCAUUUGACAUAACGGAGGUCCUAGUCAGUGGCAUGAAUUAAGAAAAACAGUGUGACUGUCUCAGUAGAUGCAGGAGAAGGAUAGGACACAACACAACAUCCUACCAUCAGGGGCUCCUUUGAAGACAUCAGAAGAGACAGAUGGAAUGUCUACACGGCAGUGUGGAUGGCCCUUAAACAUAGUGCUGAAUGACAAACUCAGGAACAGUGUGAGCGCUUACAAUACAACACCACAGACAUGAAUGAAAAAGGUCUGUGCAUGCAAAACAGUACACAUUUU